RNAcentral lists this unclassified non-coding RNA (173 nucleotides) under uncultured Ascomycota. RNAcentral describes it as "sequence contains ITS1". Lineage: Eukaryota; Fungi; Ascomycota. The record is from RNAcentral.
CCGAGUUUACACAAACUCCCAAACCCUAUGUGAACCUUACCCAUCGUUGCUUCGGCGGCCGCGCCCCGGUGCCCCCGUGCCCGGACCCAGGCGCCCGCCGGGGACCCCCAAACCUUGAAUCUUUUUACAAGUGGAAUUCUGAGUGGCGCAGUCGCGCAAAAGAAAAUAAAUCA